RNAcentral lists this ribosomal RNA (408 nucleotides) under uncultured bacterium. Its description in RNAcentral is "partial 16S ribosomal RNA". It matches the Rfam family "Bacterial small subunit ribosomal RNA", at positions 29 to 526 of the family's 1533-position model. The record is from RNAcentral.
AGUGAACGCUGGCGGCGUGCCUAAUACAUGCAAGUCGAACGGAGUGGCGCACGGGUGAGUAAUAUAUAGAUAAUCUGCCCCUUGCUGGAGGCCAACAGUUAGAACUGACUGCUAAUACUCCAUAGAAAGGGAUGAGACUAUAUCGUAUCAGCUAGUCGGUGGGGUAACGGCCUACCGAGGCUAUGACGCGUAACUGGUCUGCGAGGAUGAUCAGUCACAUGGGAACGGAGACACGGGCCAAACUCCUACGGGAGGCAGCAGUAGUGAGAAUUGCGCAAUGGGGGUAAGCCUGACGCAGCAACGCCUCGUGGAGGAUGACACUUUUCGGAGCGUAAACUCCUUUUGUUAGGGAAGCGGUACCUAACGAAUAAGCACCGGCUAACUCCGUGCCAGCCGCCGCGGUAAUUC